AGGAUAUGGGCCUUCCUUGAAAGACAGCUGAGGGAGAUCAGUACAGAAAUACUUGACAUCUUGCAAAACAGGCCAAAAAAAGAUGAUCAAAUGCAAAUGAGGAAAGGUGGGCAAAGGUCUGCUUUCGGGUUAUGUUUCUUCAGCAAAAGGACUAGCUUCAAAAUGCGUCUGCUAGCAUCACUGAUCCACCACAUCAAGCUCUUUGGCAUCGUCUCUUUGUAUCUCCUCCUCAUGGAAUCCUGUCUGGUCCAGCUUUACUAAAUGCACAUAAAUACCUACAUCUCACGGGCACACCAGGGAGGGCAUGGACUGCAAUGCUGGUUUGGAGACUCUUCAGGGGAACCCUUUAAAGUCUCUGGAAGGAGACCAAAAAUAACCUGAAAGGACUGGCAAUGGCCUACUGCACGCUGCCUUUGGUGCAAACAACUAAUCAGAGCAUGCGUACUUAGCAAUAAGCAAGCCCCAAAAUUAUUUAAUGAGAAGGGCUUACUAUAUAUUGAAGGAAAGGACCCCAAAUCCCUAAAGAGCUGUUCUCACUAGCAGGAGAGUGAUAAGAAGCCACAUGGAUCUAAUCUUGCGAGACAGUAUUACAUAUCAGAUGAUACUUUUAAUGUGUUCAAUUACUGUAGCAUUUAAAAAACAAGCAUCAGCAAAAGAUAAAUUGUCUGUACAGUUAUGUUUCAUUUAUAUAGGUAAUUUUUCACGAGAUUGCUGUACCCCAAAUGUGUUUGAAAGGCUUCUGUUUCUAAUUUGCAUGCAAUGCACCCUUUAUACACCUCAAAUGCUUUCUUGACAAGGCAAUGAUGGUCUAAUUGAGAUCAGACCAAGUUCCAGCAUUCUGGGGUUUUCAAAU
Oxyura jamaicensis (ruddy duck) is the source of this 853-nucleotide long non-coding RNA. RefSeq lists it as uncharacterized. The transcript has 3 exons. The record is from RefSeq and is a predicted model, not a curated record. Lineage: Eukaryota; Metazoa; Chordata; Aves; Anseriformes; Anatidae.